Passer domesticus (house sparrow) is the source of this 961-nucleotide long non-coding RNA. RefSeq lists it as uncharacterized. The transcript has 3 exons. The record is from RefSeq and is a predicted model, not a curated record. NCBI's taxonomy places the organism in Eukaryota, Metazoa, Chordata, Aves, Passeriformes, Passeridae.
CCGGCAGCUGCAUCGGAGUAGGUCCUGUGUGAGGCUUUUUAGGAGUGGGACUAGCCGAGCUAGACUACUGGCUACAACAGUCAGACAGCUCUUGCUCAAACGGCUCUGAGGAGGAAGGAAAGGAUGAUGAAAUGUGUUAUAAAUAAAAAAAUGCGAAUUAGCCAAUUUUAAUAAAAAUAUGAAAAAUAAAAUUUAUUCCGUGACCAAAAAAACAGUCUCGACAGCCACCACCAAAACGGACAGCGUACCACCCCCGGGAAGUGAUACGGGUGAAUGUGAAGAAUGGACCAACUGGUACCAGGACUUCCCCGUCCACACUUACUGCUUGCAAGUGCCCAAAGACAGCCAAGAGCUGUUUGCUUUUGAGUGGGAAAAUCCUGAGACAGGAAGAAAAAGUCAACUUAUUUGGAGAGUUUUCCACCAAGGUUUCAAGAACAGUCCCAAAAUAUUUGGGAAUCAGCUAGCAAAGGAAUUAGAGGACUGGAAAAGACAGGAACCAGAAGGAGUUGUUCUUCAGUACAUGGAUGGCAUCCUGAUUGCAGCCAGAACCAGAGAUGACUGUGUAUGACUUACUGUAAGUUUAUUAAACUUCUUGGGACUGGGUGGGUACAGAGUUUCUAAAAACAAAGCAUAGGUUGCUAAAUAAGCAGUAGUUUACUUGGGGCUUGAGAUCUUCCAUGGACACUGACAGCUCAGCAAAGAACGGAAAGAAGCCCUCUGCUGACUCCCAGAGCCCCAUACCGUGAGAGAGAUGCAAGCUUUCCUGGGAACGGGUGGUGAUGACAAAACAAUCCUAUUGUAGCUGGAGACUCAAGGACAAUCUCUUCAAACUUCAGGCCCAAUGCAUAAACAACGUGAAAAGAGGAGGGCGGGCAAGCAAGCAAGGAGGAUGAAACUUCAUGAUUUGAAGCUAUUAAUUGGACAGUUAACUCCUUUAUGCAAAUGGACUAAAACUUAUAAA